AUUGAACGCUGGCGGCAGGCCUAACACAUGCAAGUCGAACGGUAACAGGAAACAGCUUGCUGUUUCGCUGACGAGUGGCGGACGGGUGAGUAAUGUCUGGGAAACUGCCUGAUGGAGGGGGAUAACUACUGGAAACGGUAGCUAAUACCGCAUAACGUCGCAAGACCAAAGAGGGGGACCCUCGGGCCUCUUGCCAUCGGAUGUGCCCAGAUGGGAUUAGCUUGUUGGUGGGGUAACGGCUCACCAAGGCGACGAUCCCUAGCUGGUCUGAGAGGAUGACCAGCCACACUGGAAGUGAGACACGGUCCAGACACCUGCGGGAGGCCGCAGUCGGGAAUCUUGCGCAAUGGGGGAGAGCCUGAUGCAGCACUGCCGCGUGUAUGCAGAAGGAGUUCGGGUUGUAAAGUACUGACGGCGGGGGGGAAGUGAGUAAAGUUCGUACCUAUGCACAUUGACGUUACCCGCAGAAGAAGCACCGGCUAACUCCGUG
This 490-nucleotide ribosomal RNA is filed under the name uncultured bacterium. RNAcentral's name for it is "partial 16S ribosomal RNA". It matches the Rfam family "Bacterial small subunit ribosomal RNA", at positions 30 to 507 of the family's 1533-position model. The record is from RNAcentral.